Molecule: transfer RNA, 73 nt
Filed under: Kocuria flava
Lineage: Bacteria; Bacillati; Actinomycetota; Actinomycetes; Micrococcales; Micrococcaceae
Description: tRNA-Ser
Source: RNAcentral
GCGGCGCCGUGGAUCGGCCCGGGAACGGCUGUUGGAAGCGGCCGCGGGCCGGUUCUACGCCGAGGGCAUCACG